Molecule: long non-coding RNA, 2007 nt
Organism: Gopherus flavomarginatus (Mexican gopher tortoise)
Lineage: Eukaryota; Metazoa; Chordata; Testudines; Testudinidae
Exons: 2
Source: RefSeq, a predicted model, not a curated record
AGGAGCCAGCGGGUGGGCUCUCGGCUGCAGGACCCUCAGAGCGAGCAGCUGGGGCCAGGAACCCGGUACUCCCCUGGGAAACGCUGCUGCCGUGAAGGUUGAGAGGGGCUGGAUCGGGCUCGCUGGGCACCAGAGACUCCAGGAGACAAAGGCAGAGCGGUUAGGUGUAUUACGGCAGCACUAGGGAGCCGCAGUCCUGGAGCCGGACCCUGCGGUGCCGGGUGCUGCACGGCCCACAACAGCCGGGCCCUGCCCCGCUAAGUGAGGAACGAGACCCAGCGGCUGGACGCUGCAGCGAGUAAAUUCAGGCAGGAGCUGCCCAAGGCCUCUCAUGCCGGGCGCCGCCCAGACCCCGGCUGAGAUCAGGGCCCCCUCGUGCCGGGCGCCGCCCAGACCCCGGCUGAGAUCAGGGCCCCCUCGUGCCGGGCGCCGCCCAGACCCCGGCUGAGAUCGGGGCCCCCUCGUGCCGGGCGCCGCCCAGACCCCGGCUGAGAUCGGGGCCCCCUCGUGCCGGGCGCCGCCCAGACCCCGGCUGAGAUCGGGGCCCCCUCGUGCCGGGCGCCGCCCAGAUCCCGGCUGAGAUCAGGGCCCCAUCACGCCGGGUGCCGCCCAGACCCCGGCUGAGAUCAGGGCCCCCUCGUGCCGGGCGCUGCCCAGACCCCGGCUGAGAUCGGGGCCCCCUCGUGCCGGGUGCCGCCCAGACCCCGGCUGAGAUCGGGGCCCCAUCACGCCGGGCGCCGCCCAGACCCCGGCCGAGAUUGGGGCCCUGUCGCGCCGGGCGCCGCCCAGACCCCAGCUGAGAUUGGGGCCCCAUCACGCCGGGUGCUGCCCAAGCGCCAGCCAAGAUCGGGGCCCCGUUGGACCGGACGCUGCCCAGACUCCGGCCAAGCGCCAGGCAGCAUCUCACACCUAGUGUGCACUGGUGUCAAAUGCAUUUCACAGCCGGUAUGCACUGGCGUCUCACGUGCCGAGCGCCGGGCAGCGUCUCACACCUGGUGUGCGCUGGUGUCAUACAGGUCCGGAGCGACUCAACCUCUGUGUCAGAGCUGCCAGCGAGGGAGGGUCCGUCUGGUCCCGCAGCUCAGAUGCUCCAACAAGGCAGAGCUCCCUGAUCCUGCUGAGUCACGGGUUCCCCCUGCCCCCUGGUGCUCUCUCACCACCCCAUGGCGGGGAGCAUAGGGGAGGGGAGAACAGCCUGCUCCUGCUGGCCCCAGGCCUGGGUCUCUGGUCCUCCGUGGGGGCCAGGGAUGUGGGGUUAAAGCCGCUUUGCUGCCCCGUAUCCUGGGCCCUGCCUGGCUUUGGAGUCGGUACAGCAGCCUCAGGGCUGCUCUAACUCCCGCUCCGCCCCCAUGGGCCCCAGGGGGCAGGGAAUAGCCACAGCGCAGUGCACCUCGAUCAGCGGAGUGGGGCACAGAGACCCUGGUGACAGGGACUCUCGGUAGGACCGGGGGGUUCUCAAUGUACCGACCUCCUUGCAGCCCCAACCCACACAGCCUAGUCACACUCCCCCACCCCCAGGGCGGCCCCACGCCCCAGGAUUGCUCUGGGGGAGACGCAGGGGGCUUGAGCUCCCCCUCUACUGGCUCAGAGCAGGUGCUGCAGGUGCAAGGUGUGCCCUGCGCAGUGCAGCGUGACCUUUGGGCAUGGGACCAGGGGGCUGCUGGGUCUCUGGCCGAAGCUCCCACACCAGAGGGGUCCCACUACCCAGCCAGAGACUGACAAUAACUCCUAGCGCUUUGCAAACUGCCAAGAGAUUGGUGUCAAAGGUGUUGUCCCCUGUGAAUAGCCAGGGGAAACUAAGGCACAGGGACGUGGCAAGGCUGAGGCCACACAGUGAGUAUCAGAGCCAGAAAGGGAACCCAGGAGUCCGGGCUCCCAAACCCCUUCACCGCACUGUACCUACUAGCCCUCACUUCCCUCCUAGAGCCAGGGACAGAACCCAGGAGUCCUGGCUCCCCCCUACCCCCGGUCUAACCACCAGACCCCACUCCCUUCCCAGAGCCAGGG